ACACGUAGUCAACCCAACCUAUGGACGUGGAUAACCUCGGGAAACUGAGAAUAAAACACGAUAGAUCAUUAUGCCUGGAAUGGCUUAUGGUUCAAACAAUUUAUUGCCGUAGGAUGGGACUGCGGCCUAUCAGCUUGUUGGUGAGGUAAUGGCCCACCAAGGCUAUAACAGGUACGGGCUCUGAGAGGAGAAGCCCGGAGAUGGGUACUGAGACACGGACCCAGGCCCUAUGGGGCGCAGCAGGCGAGAAACCUUAGCAAUGUGCGAAAGCACGACUAGGUUAAUCCGAGUGGUUCCUGCUAAAGGAACCUUUUGUCAGUCAUAAAACCACAGAUGAAUAAGGGGUGGGCAAGUCUGGUGUCAGCCGCCGCGGUAAUACCAGCACCUCGAGUGGUCAGGAGGUUUAUUGGGCCUAAAGCAUCCGUAGCCGGCUUUGCAAGUCUCCGGUUAAAUCCAGCUGCUCAACAGAUGGGCUGCCGGAGAUACUACACAGCUAGGGAGCGGGAGAGGUAGACGGUAUUCGGUGGGUAGGGGUAAAAUCCUCUGAUCCAUCGAGGA
RNAcentral lists this ribosomal RNA (558 nucleotides) under uncultured archaeon. RNAcentral describes it as "bacterial SSU rRNA". It matches the Rfam family "Archaeal small subunit ribosomal RNA", at positions 96 to 656 of the family's 1478-position model. The record is from RNAcentral.